This is a long non-coding RNA of Acanthopagrus latus (yellowfin seabream), 510 nucleotides long. RefSeq lists it as uncharacterized. The transcript has 3 exons. The record is from RefSeq and is a predicted model, not a curated record. NCBI's taxonomy places the organism in Eukaryota, Metazoa, Chordata, Actinopteri, Spariformes, Sparidae.
UCUUGAUCCCCAGUUGUCUGCAUGCAACACUGCAGCAGUUUCACUGCUCUGUUCCCACAACACACAAGUUUUGAUGGACUACUACGGUAUUUUGAACAUCUCAGACUGAAUAAUUUCCGAAAGAGAUUAAUAUGAGAAAAAGGCCAGCAAAGUUCACAUAACAUCAGACAAAGACGGCAAACACCGCGAGCUCAGCCAAGUCUCGUCACGUCUACAGGAAGAGAGAACACUGACUACACUGACUUGUAUCAGUUCACGGGGCGCAGCUGCCACAUCCAAGAUGGCGGCGACGUCGACAUUUCACAGUAAUGUGCCAACCCGCUCAGUGAAGCGUCUAUAUGUUUUCCUACAGAAGCCCUGAACAGGAACCCUAAAGGACGACAGAGAGAUGUGAGUCGACCACAAAGACGCACAAAGCGACUGCAAAGAGACACAAAACAACCACAAAGAGAUGCAGAGAUUUGUGUUAGAGGCCCUGGAAAGUUCAAAUUAGCAGCGUCCAUCUUGUCU